AUAAUCUAUGCGUCGGUCUACCGAGCAAAAUCACCCGCUCGGUGAAAGAUUUUCCCUUUGUCGU
This 64-nucleotide microRNA precursor is filed under the name Bombyx mori (domestic silkworm). RNAcentral's name for it is "mir-2774 microRNA precursor family". It matches the Rfam family "mir-2774 microRNA precursor family". Lineage: Eukaryota; Metazoa; Arthropoda; Insecta; Lepidoptera; Bombycidae. The record is from Rfam by way of RNAcentral.